This 454-nucleotide ribosomal RNA is filed under the name uncultured soil bacterium. Its description in RNAcentral is "bacterial SSU rRNA". It matches the Rfam family "Bacterial small subunit ribosomal RNA", at positions 8 to 493 of the family's 1533-position model. The record is from RNAcentral.
AGAGUUUGAUCCUGGCUCAGCCUGAACGCUGGCGGCGUGGCUAAGACAUGCAAGUCGCACGGUGUAGCAAUACACAGUGGCGAACGGGAGAGUAAUGAAUCGCUAACGUACCCCGGACUCUGGGAUAGCUAUCCGAAAGGGUAGGUAAUACCAGAUUAUACGACCUUGUCGCAUGGCAGGGUUUUCAAAGGUCCGCCGGUCUGGGAGCGGGCGAUUUCGUAUCAGCUAGUUGGUGAGGUAACGGCUCACCAAGGCGACGACGCGUAGCCGGACUGAGAGGUUGGCCGGCCUCAUUGGGACUGAGACACUGCCCAGACUCCUACGGGGGGCUGCAGUAACGAAUCUUCCGCAAUGCACGAAAGUGUGACGGAGCGACGCCGCGUGUGGGUCGAAGCCCUUCGGGGUGUAAACCACUGUCAGGGGUUACCAAGUCUGAGAGCCCCAGAGAAAGCCA